CCUGCCCACUGUUGGUAUAAAGGGCUGCAGUAUUUUGACUGUGCAAAGGUAGCAUAGUAGAUUGUCUUUUAAAAGGGGGCUGGUAUGAAAGGUUUAACAAGGCUAAAGCUGUUCCUUUCUAUUUAUUGAAUUUAAGGUUACUGUAAAAACGCAGUAGUGAAACUAAGGGACGAUAAGACCCUAUAAAUUUUAGUAGGUGAAUGCUAGUCAAGAAACUUAAGCUAUAUUCUACUUAGUUGGGGCAACAUUUAUGGUUAAAUCAUAAAUUUUAAUACAAGAUGGUUGGAGUAAAGAGCCGGAAUACCGCAAAAGAUAAAAAUACUUUAGGGAUAACAGCGUUAUUGUUUCGGAGAGUUCAAAUCUAUGAAACAGAUUACGACCUCGAUGUUGAAUUAAGAUAACUUUUAGGUGUAGCAGCUUAAACACGUUAGCCUGUUCGGCUAUAUUACUCUUACGUGAUCUGAGUU
RNAcentral lists this ribosomal RNA (467 nucleotides) under Paramysis intermedia. Its description in RNAcentral is "partial 16S ribosomal RNA". It matches the Rfam family "Bacterial large subunit ribosomal RNA", at positions 1858 to 2611 of the family's 2925-position model. Lineage: Eukaryota; Metazoa; Arthropoda; Malacostraca; Mysida; Mysidae. The record is from RNAcentral.